Molecule: small RNA, 16 nt
Filed under: Arabidopsis thaliana (thale cress)
Lineage: Eukaryota; Viridiplantae; Streptophyta; Magnoliopsida; Brassicales; Brassicaceae
Description: ATSL084040
Source: RNAcentral
GGUGUGGACAAGGUUU